AAUAACAGAAAUUAUUAACUUGCAGAUACCAAGGGUGCUAUGAUUAAAAACUGAUAAAUACUAGUGUAAUAAUCUGUAUCUAUGUGGUUCUUGGCGUGGUCAUAGAGAAAAACAACCAAUUAUUAAGUCAUUUUAAUCAUUAAUAUUGUUAUUAAAACAAUGUGCUGGAACAACGUGGAAGUGCUCUGUGAAGUGAUAACACUCUACACACAACGUUGAUAAUCUUAACUUUACAAAAUCCUUAUGUUUCCUAGUACAACAGAGACAAUGGUCUCAUGUCACCUAAUUGUAGCUGAAGGACAAUGCACUGUGUAUCUUAUUUUCUGAAGGCAUAGAUUGAAAUUGCAUUCAGGACUUCACUCUGCAGAGAAGAUUCAAGUUAAAUAGCAUUAGUGUAAGCAAAAGAGGAAUCAUAGUAAUUGAAUGCCCAUACAACUAUGUCUGGGUCAGGAUAGAGGCAUGGGUGUGGAACACUUUAAAUUACUGCUUCUCAUGUUCUAUUUUACUUCCAGGAUCUUGAACUGCCAUUGUAACACCUUUCACCAGACUGAACUUGCAAUUGAAAAUAAAUCAAUCUUGAGGUGAUUGAAAUUACUAUUGCCUGACUUCUCUCAUUUUGCCAUUGCAAAGGAACAUGGUAUUGACACUACCAAUGGCAGCAGAAUGUUAUGUCACUAUGUACAACAACAAGACAAUCUGAAGCAAAAUGGAUACCCACAGUUGUGUCACCAGCUCUAGCCUCACAGGGCACACCUGAGCUAUGGCCCCUGCAAAAGCAUCUUCUCUCCAGCCUCAAGGCCAUACACUGUGUUCAACCUCUCAGAGCACCUCUUGGAAAUUUCAACAAAAUUAACAAAGACUUCAGGAUCUUUCUUCUUAAGUUCAUCUCUGCAUUUUUGCUCAAAGAAAGCAUAAGGAGACAUCCUGCCCUUUGGUUUCUUGGGGUCACCUGUAACCAUCUUGACUGUGUUGUUCAUUUCUCUGGGGAUUCCUGAACUUACUCUGGGCAAGACAGGUUAUGGCACUUGUCUUGGCACUCUCCAGCCUCACAUUAGUUGCCUCUACAAAAACCAUCUCUUAGCAGAUAUUGUAAUUACCUUGACUUAUUGACCUUAAUGUACUGCUUUGCAUGAAAGUUAUAGCUUUAAUUAUAACCAGUGCUUUUAGUAUCUUGUUAAAUGUAUUGCUGUCUAUGAACUUAUGAACUCAUGAGUUAUAUAUAAUACUGCUUUUUCUGAAUUUGAGUGUGACAUGAGUCUGCUCCAGACAGAUGGAUUUAUACACUUAAUGUACUUAAAAUCAUGUCAACGGUCUGAGCCUAUAAUGAUAAGGAUGGGAGUCAGAUCCCAAACAAAUGUUUCUUGAAGUGUGGUCAAAGGACAACUACAGCAGAAUCUCUUGGCAAAGGGCUUUGCAUUCAGGUCUGUGAAGGGGGAUCAUUGUUCAUGAAUUCCUGGCUUCUGCCCGCCAUGCGCUCACAUUGUUCCUGGACACUUGAGUUAAUGCAGUAUUCACAUUUUUUUUGUUGUUGUAGUUCUCUAGGCAUCAGGAUGGAAAAUCCCAAUAUUAGCAAAUACUUUUCAUUGCAACAAUGAAACGUAUUACCCCAUGGACAAAUCAGAACAAAAUUUCUCACACACUUCAUAAUUAAAUAGGAAAAAUAGAAAUUUUUUUCUUAUUAGGAGCAUAAUAUAAGUCAUAAUUCCAUGGAGAAUUUCCCAUUCUUUACUAUUAUACUUAUGAUACAAUAAUAUCUUUUAAAUUUUCUAUGCUGAGGAAAAUCUAAAAUCUAUGAUUCA
This is a long non-coding RNA of Oryctolagus cuniculus (rabbit), 1799 nucleotides long. The record is from Ensembl. Lineage: Eukaryota; Metazoa; Chordata; Mammalia; Lagomorpha; Leporidae.